Molecule: ribosomal RNA, 537 nt
Filed under: Typhula intermedia
Lineage: Eukaryota; Fungi; Basidiomycota; Agaricomycetes; Agaricales; Typhulaceae
Description: LSU rRNA
Rfam family: Bacterial large subunit ribosomal RNA
Source: RNAcentral
GUUAGACGACAAGAGGAACCGCAUUGAAAAUAAGCAAUGAUAUUUCGUUGUUAAACUCUUUAGCGAGCUGACAGAAAAUCGGAGGCCCCGACUGUUUACUAAAAACACAAUUUUCAGCAAUGAUGAAUAUCAUAGUAUUGAAGAUGAAAUUUGCUCGAUGCCAAUAAUAUAACCUUUUACCCUGAAUUAUUUUUCCUUUAAUUUUACCUUUUUAAACUAUGCGUAUGGAUAUUUAGACCUACUUGUAAUAGGAAACUUUUAUAUUGGCGCUUGAAUUAGUUUAAGUUUAUUUAUUCCCUAACCGCUGAACUUGUUUAUAAAAUAUAUAAUUAAGAGUAAUUAUAAAAUAGGGGGAGAGGGAAGUUCUGGUGAAUGGCGGUCUUAACUAUGAGGAUCCUAAGGUAGCAAAAUAAAUUGGCCAUUAAAUGUGGUCCGGUAUCAAUAAUGUAACGAUGGCCUCACUGUCUCUACAACUUGCUCAGUGAAAUUGAAUUGCACGUGCAGAUGCGUGCGACCUUUAGGGGGACGGGAAGACCC